This is a long non-coding RNA of Balaenoptera musculus (blue whale), 108 nucleotides long. RefSeq lists it as uncharacterized. The record is from RefSeq and is a predicted model, not a curated record. The transcript has 3 exons. NCBI's taxonomy places the organism in Eukaryota, Metazoa, Chordata, Mammalia, Artiodactyla, Balaenopteridae.
CCUACUAAAUUAGAAUCUGCAUUUUAACAAGAACCUCAGAUGAUUCAUAUGUACAUUAAAGUUUAGAAGCACUGCUAUACAAGAAAUAAAAUAGUUUUCUGAGUAAGA